UACGAAGGGGGCUAGCGUUGUUCGGAAUUACUGGGCGUAAAGCGUGCGCAGGCGGUCUUCCAAGUCAGUGGUGAAAGCCCGGAGCUCAACUCCGGAAUUGCCAUUGAAACUGUGAGACUUGAGGACGAGAGAGGUGAGUGGAAUUCCCAGUGUAGAGGUGAAAUUCGUAGAUAUUGGGAAGAACACCGGUGGCGAAGGCGGCUCACUGGACCAUAACUGACGCUGAUGCACGAAAGCUAGGGGAGCAAACAGG
This 253-nucleotide ribosomal RNA is filed under the name uncultured prokaryote. Its description in RNAcentral is "partial 16S ribosomal RNA". It matches the Rfam family "Bacterial small subunit ribosomal RNA", at positions 524 to 776 of the family's 1533-position model. The record is from RNAcentral.